UGGGGAAUAUUGCGCAAUGGAGGAAACUCUGACGCAGCAACGCCGCGUGGGUGAAGAAGGUCUUCGGAUUGUAAAGCCCUGUCGGGAGGGAAGAACGGCACAUGGUGAAUGUGUAUGACGGUACCUCCGAAGGAAGCACUGGCUAACUCCGUGCCAGCAGCCGCGGUAAUACGGAGAGUGCAAACGUUGUUCGGAAUUAUUGGGCGUAAAGGGCGCGUAGGCGGCUUGGUAAGUCAGAUGUGAAAGCCCGGGGCUCAACCCUGGAAGUGCGUUUGAAACUGCUGAGCUUGAGUGCAGGAGGGAGAGGUGGAAUUCCAGGUGUAGGAGUGAAAUCCGUAGAUAUCUGGAGGAACACCGGUGGCGAAGGCGACCUCUUGGCCUGAAACUGACGCUGAGGCGC
Molecule: ribosomal RNA, 400 nt
Filed under: uncultured bacterium
Lineage: Bacteria
Description: bacterial SSU rRNA
Rfam family: Bacterial small subunit ribosomal RNA
Source: RNAcentral